ACUUUCUCACAGCCUACUGCAUUGAAAGCUCCACCUACGUAAACACCUUCCCGUAAUCAACGGCGCCGUCACUACGAAUACCAGCGUUGCGCGCCGAGUUCAAGCGUAGGGUUCGGUUCCCUGGGAACACAUUCUAAGGUUCAGCAGAAACCCAACCCCGUCAAAAAGCCCAAUAUUCAGCCCAAUCCUGGAUUCGGUGCAUCCCUAGUUCAAAUAUUACAAGGCACUCAACAGUUCACCAUUGUUUUUUUUUUGGCCACUUCCAUAUCUGUCUGCAGCUGGUUAGCUUGGUUUAAGAUAAAGACGUGUGUGUGUGUGUGUGUGUGUGUGUGUGUGUGUGUCCGUGUGUCCGUGUCCAUCAGCACUUCUAAAAGCUGUGUUAAGCUAAAAAGUUAAGACCACAUAUCACGCUGGAGUCUUCUGGUCACAUAACCCCAAAUGUUGUUUUUUGUCCAGAUGUAACAAGCCAGAUAUGGAGGCUUGUCAGCGAGCUUUAGAGGGUUGUUACUUUUGGACAGAGCCAGUAGUAGCUGUUUCACCUUUUUAUGCUAAGCUAAGCUAAGCUUACCUGCUACAGCUUCAAGUUUAAACACUGGACGAGGAUGUGAACAUACGCAUGUUUCCCCAGAAUGGCAAUAGAGUCUUCCCUCUCUGCGGGAUCCAGUGCUUUUAAAGCCUCAGCUCACCUGAAACCUGCUCACCUGAGUACCCAGGUCAGAUCAGCUGCUCUGGAGACUACCUGACACAGAGGACCCAGGUCAGAUCAGCUGCUCUAGAGACUACCUGACACAGAGGACCCAGGUCAGAUCAGCUGCUCUGGAGACUACCUGACACAGAGGACCCAGGUCAGAUCAGCUGCUCUGGAGACUACCUGAAACAGAGGACCCAGGUCAGAUCAGCUGCUCUGGAGACUACCUGAAACAGAGGACCCAGGUCAGAUCAGCUGCUCUGGAGACACAUUCAGACCAUCAGAGAAUUUUCUGAUGAUGUUCAAAUAUUUUCACUUUACGGUUUUCUACUUUUUCUGACAAUUAGGAGCCUCUAUUUUAAAUGUACUGUUCUUACUGUUUAUUUAAAUAAAGUUGUACAUGUAGGGAUUAAA
Molecule: long non-coding RNA, 1102 nt
Organism: Perca flavescens (yellow perch)
Lineage: Eukaryota; Metazoa; Chordata; Actinopteri; Perciformes; Percidae
Exons: 2
Source: RefSeq, a predicted model, not a curated record